This 2079-nucleotide long non-coding RNA is filed under the name Oryza brachyantha (malo sina). RNAcentral's name for it is "long non-coding RNA (OBRA_LNC001442)". Lineage: Eukaryota; Viridiplantae; Streptophyta; Magnoliopsida; Poales; Poaceae. The record is from RNAcentral.
UGCAGCUAGCAGUGCCCAGUGGUGUGGUCUUGACUCUUGUGAAGCAGAAAUCCAUGGCAAGCUCGCACUGCUGGGAGAGCCCGCCGGCGGAGGGGGAGAGGUCAUCGACGACUUCGGCGGGCAGAAGGCGUACGUCGCCGUCUCGGCCUGCUCCAAGGCCGCCGUCGUCCUCAGCUCCGACGCCUUUGGUAGGUUUCGAACCAACCGCACGAGUCCAAAGGCUUCGAUCCACGAGUUAUUCAAAAAUUGAAGUAUCGAAUCCGCAAGAGUCGAAUCGGCUAGGGAUGUUGCCCGCUGAAAACCAUUUCCUUUUUUUUUUCUUUUGUGCAGGCUUUGAAGCCCCAAACCUGAGGUGAGCUACGGAAUCUACUUUUCACUCUCUUUUAACGCUAUUCCAUUCCAUUUUCAAGAUAGGAAAACCCUGCAGCUGCUUGCAAGCAUUUCCUGUUUAUCCUUCGUACCUCUCCACCGAUCACGGUGUGGGGAGAUGCUUUGCUCAAUUAAAAUGGGACGUGGUUCCAUCAAAGGUUCAAGGAAAAGUUGGCAAUGCCACUAUGGUAUUCGUACAAUACAUAGAUGUUGUAGACUAGGGUGUGAUGUUACCUUCAGGAGAGCUGGCAUGACAUGACUUUUUAAACUUUUGGGGGAUGCAUAUGGUACACAAGUUGUUCUAGCCGUAAAACAUUUUUCAACUCUUACACAUAUACAGUUCUUUGUUCACCUCACCUCCUGUAUGAAGGACUACUAUGUGUAAUUGAUAGUGCAAAAGGCAUUUUUAAGUAAAAAGAAAGCAUGUAUGUCAGUUAGGGCUCCUUUGUAACACAUGAAUUUUAUAGAAUUUUCACAUAAAACAAUUUGAUUCCUCCAAACUCAAACUGAAUAGAGCCUUGUUAUGAAUUUCUUCUUCCAAAGCCAUGUUCCAGGAAAAAGGGAUCAGAAUUAUACAAGAAUACUGGAUCAUCUUUCUGUAGCUUUCUAUUCGAAUUUGUUUCCACCACAAAUGUUCCUAUUUGUUCAACUUAAAAAAUUGUUGAAUCUAUGUGUUUAUUGAAUAUAUAUUCAGCAAUAAAAUGGCACAGUAGAUUAAUGAAACUCAUGAUGAAAGUUUUAUUCGGUUGAACUCUAGUAGCAUAUCAGAUUGUUGCUGGAAUUAAGAUUGUACUUUUAUGCUCUAUAUGAAGUGCAUCUGCUCGUUGGAUUGUGUAGUACUACCCAUUAUCCAUUUCGGAAAGCAUAUUGAAUUCUUUUUGCCGGGCUGGCCGAAGAGUGGCCAGCCAAAUUUCAUUAAGGAUAGAGAAUUUACAAACUUCUUACAGCAAAGGGCAGAGGCUCACGACAAGAGGCUGUCGUGAUUAAAUUCUUACUAUUAAGUGGUGUUAAGUUAUGAUUCAAAUACAUAGUAGAAAGGUCGACUUUGACGGAACGAAACGGAGGUAGGUUGCUAGGAGGCUUGGGCCGGAGCCUCCGCGGUACGGAUUGUACUGUUUUAUAUAUAUAUAUAUAUAUAACAUCACCACGAUUAAUUCUAUUAAACCAUAUUGGGUGGGACCGGAAGCGUCCUCACCGUGUUGCCUUCUUACAUAAGUCCUAGAAAAUGUGUUUAUUGUCACAUCACUCUUUUUAAAAAGUUCUUUAACUUACCAAUAUUUCCAUAUAUAUAUAUAUAUAUACCCCUCUUAUAAGCCGUCAUGCGGCGUUGUAACCUCAUCGCAAUAUAGUGAAGAUAUUUGUUGACCGGCGCCCGUGAUUUUUUCUCUUCUGGUUUAGAAGAGUUUUUCACGUUAAAUCUCAUGUCUGGUAUGAUUGAUCUAUUGUGUUUAUAGUUGAUUUAUCCAUUGUUAACCAGGGGCGCCCGGAGGCCCUGGACAAACUAGGCGAUUACUCGCGGCAUGUACGCAAGUAUGCAACACUCCCGCUAAACUCCAGAAAGCAUAUUGAAUUCUGAAAAUGUUUGAUCUUUAAAUGUCUGGGCGCGCCUUCCAAAUGUCCAGCAUUCAUUCAGAAACUUAAACAUUAAUUAAGAUUAUUUCAAAUUACAAGAAGGAAAAAUAUAUAUCAAAUGUUGGAAUUCGGGGUGGC